CCUACGUGAGGCAGCAGUGAGGAAUAUUGGUCAAUGGGCUCGAGCCUGAACCAGCCCAGUAGCGUGAAGGCUGACUGCCCUACGGGUUGUACACUUUUUUUAUAAAGGAAUAAAGUGAGGCACGUGUUCCUUUUUGUAUGUACUUUAUGACUAAGGAUCGGCUAACUCCGUGCCAGCAGCCGCGGUAAUACGGAGGGUCCGAGUGUUAUCCGGAUUUAUUGGGUUUAAAGGGAGCGUUGAAGGGUUGGUAAUUCAGGUGUGAAAGUUUGCGGCUCAACCGUAAAAUUUGAAUUGAUCCUGGCAGUCUUGAGGACAGGUGAGGGUGGCGGAAUUCGGUGUGUAGCGGUGAAAUGCUUAGAUAGCACGAAGAACUCCGAUUGCGAAGGCAGCUUACUAAACUGCCACUGACAUUGAUGCUCGAAAGUGUGGGUAUCAAACAGGAUUAGAUACCCCAGUAGUC
Molecule: ribosomal RNA, 460 nt
Filed under: uncultured bacterium
Lineage: Bacteria
Description: partial 16S ribosomal RNA
Rfam family: Bacterial small subunit ribosomal RNA
Source: RNAcentral